AUUGAACGCUGGCGGAAUGCUUUACACAUGCAAGUCGAACGACAGCACGGGGGCAACCCUGGUGGCGAGUGGCGAACGGGUGAGUAAUACAUCGGAACGUGCCCGGUCGUGGGGGAUAACGUAGCGAAAGUUACGCUAAUACCGCAUACGAUCUGAGGAUGAAAGCGGGGGACCUUCGGGCCUCGCGCGAUCGGAGCGGCCGAUGUCAGAUUAGGUAGUUGGUGGGGUAAAGGCCUACCAAGCCGACGAUCUGUAGCUGGUCUGAGAGGACGACCAGCCACGCUGGGACUGAGACACGGCCCAGACUCCUACGGGAGGCAGCAGUGGGGAAUUUUGGACAAUGGGCGCAAGCCUGAUCCAGCAAUUCCGCGUGCAGGACGAAGGCCUUCGGGUUGUAAACUGCUUUUGUAUGGAACGAAAAGGCUCUGGCUAAUACCUGGGGCUCAUGACGGUACCGUAAGAAUAAGCACCGGCUAACUACGUG
Molecule: ribosomal RNA, 484 nt
Filed under: uncultured bacterium
Lineage: Bacteria
Description: partial 16S ribosomal RNA
Rfam family: Bacterial small subunit ribosomal RNA
Source: RNAcentral